This 482-nucleotide ribosomal RNA is filed under the name uncultured bacterium. RNAcentral describes it as "partial 16S ribosomal RNA". It matches the Rfam family "Bacterial small subunit ribosomal RNA", at positions 28 to 507 of the family's 1533-position model. The record is from RNAcentral.
GAUGAACGCUAGCGGCAGGCCUAAUACAUGCAAGUCGAACGAGAUUAAGAGGCUUGCUUCUUAUGAAAGUGGCGCACGGGUGCGUAACGCGUAUGCAACCUACCUUAAUCAGGGGGAUAGCCCGAAGAAAUUCGGAUUAAGACCGCAUAAAAACACAGGAUAGCAUUAUCCAAUGUUCAAAUAUUUAUAGGAUUAAGAUGGGCAUGCGUGUCAUUAGCUAGUUGGCGGGGUAACGGCCCACCAAGGCGACGAUGACUAGGGGAUCUGAGAGGAUGACCCCCCACACUGGUACUGAGACACGGACCAGACUCCUACGGGAGGCAGCAGUAAGGAAUAUUGGUCAAUGGAGGGAACUCUGAACCAGCCAUGCCGCGUGCAGGAAGACAGCCCCCUGGGUCGUAAACUGCUUUUAUUCGGGAAUAAACCUUUCUACGUGUAGGAAGCUGAAUGUACCGAAGGAAUAAGAAUCGGCUAACUCCGUG